GGGUAUAGACCCGAAACCCGGUGAUCUAGCCAUGGGCAGGUUGAAGGUUGGGUAACACUAACUGGAGGACCGAACCGACUAAUGUUGAAAAAUUAGCGGAUGACCUGUGGCUGGGGGUGAAAGGCCAAUCAAACCGGGAGAUAGCUGGUUCUCCCCGAAAGCUAUUUAGGUAGCGCCUCGUGAAUUCAUCUCCGGGGGUAGAGCACUGUUUCGGCUAGGGGGCCAUCCCGGCUUACCAACCCGAUGCAAACUGCGAAUACCGGAGAAUGUUAUCACGGGAGACACACGGCGGGUGCUAACGUCCGUCGUGAAGAGGGAAACAACCCAGACCGCCAGCUAAGGUCCCAAAGUCAUGGUUAAGUGGGAAACGAUGUGGGAAGGCCCAGACAGCCAGGAUGUUGGCUUAGAAGCAGCCAUCAUUUAAAGAAAGCGUAAUAGCUCACUGGUCGAGUCGGCCUGCGCG
This 463-nucleotide ribosomal RNA is filed under the name Salmonella enterica. RNAcentral's name for it is "partial 23S ribosomal RNA". It matches the Rfam family "Bacterial large subunit ribosomal RNA", at positions 705 to 1165 of the family's 2925-position model. RNAcentral also lists the same sequence under 1 other name. The record is from RNAcentral. Lineage: Bacteria; Pseudomonadati; Pseudomonadota; Gammaproteobacteria; Enterobacterales; Enterobacteriaceae.